Molecule: non-coding RNA, 73 nt
Organism: Dipodomys ordii (Ord's kangaroo rat)
Lineage: Eukaryota; Metazoa; Chordata; Mammalia; Rodentia; Heteromyidae
Source: Rfam
GGGAAGGUGGCUCAGUGGUAGAGUGCUUACCUUGCAUGCAUGAGGCCCUGGGUUCGAUUCCCCAGUAGUCCUU